RNAcentral lists this long non-coding RNA (247 nucleotides) under Panax ginseng (ginseng). Its description in RNAcentral is "long non-coding RNA (PGIN_LNC000896)". The record is from RNAcentral. Lineage: Eukaryota; Viridiplantae; Streptophyta; Magnoliopsida; Apiales; Araliaceae.
UCCUUAAACUUUUUUGGGUUGAAAAAGUUCUCAAAAGUAGUUAAAUUAUGAAGUUCUAUGUUGCGUUUACAAAAUCCAUUGGUUUUAUAAUAUUUUCUAAAUAUGUUCUUGACAAAAUUGUCGAGAAAAUAAACACGAGUCUAUAUUGUUUCGUUUAAAUUAGUAAUAAUUAUUAAUUUAUUUAUUUUUUGUAGGGAAGAUUUUGUCUACUUUGUAGAACUUUGUUUUAAGAGUUUUGGAGAUCGAG